This 303-nucleotide ribosomal RNA is filed under the name uncultured bacterium. RNAcentral describes it as "partial 16S ribosomal RNA". It matches the Rfam family "Bacterial small subunit ribosomal RNA", at positions 507 to 807 of the family's 1533-position model. The record is from RNAcentral.
AGCAGCCGCCGCGGUAAUACGGAGGGGGCUAGCGUUGUUCGGAAUUACUGGGCGUAAAGCGCACGUAGGCGGCUUGGUAAGUUAGAGGUGAAAGCCCGGAGCUCAACUCCGGAAUUGCCUUUAAGACUGCCGAGGUAGUAGGUGAGAGAGGUAAGUGGAAUUCCGAGUGUAGAGGUGAAAUUCGUAGAUAUUCGGAAGAACACCAGUGGCGAAGGCGGCUUACUGGCUCAUUCUAGACGCUGAGGUGCGAAAGCGUGGGGAGCAAACAGGAUUAGAUACCCGUGUAGUCCCUGUCUCUUAUAC